Molecule: ribosomal RNA, 517 nt
Filed under: uncultured Glomus
Lineage: Eukaryota; Fungi; Glomeromycota; Glomeromycetes; Glomerales; Glomeraceae
Description: SSU rRNA
Rfam family: Eukaryotic small subunit ribosomal RNA
Source: RNAcentral
AGCAGCCGCGGUAAUUCCAGCUCCAAUAGCGUAUAUUAAAGUUGUUGCAGUUAAAAAGCUCGUAGUUGAAUUUCGGGAUCAAAUUGUUGGUCGUGCUUCGGUACGCACUGGCAUUAUUGGUUCCUACCCUCUGAAGAACCGCGAUGUCAUUAAUUUGGUGUCGUGGGGAAUCAGGACUGUUACUUUGAAAAAAAUUAGAGUGUUUAAAGCAGGCUUACGCUUGAAUACAUUAGCAUGGAAUAAUGAAAUAGGACGUUUGAUUCUAUUUUGUUGGUUUCUAGGAUCGACGUAAUGAUUAAUAGGGAUAGUUGGGGGCAUUAGUAUUCAAUUGUCAGAGGUGAAAUUCUUGGAUUUAUUGAAGACUAACUACUGCGAAAGCAUUUGCCAAGGAUGUUUUCAUUAAUCAAGAACGAAAGUUAGGGGAUCGAAGACGAUCAGAUACCGUCGUAGUCUUAACCAUAAACUAUGCCGACUAGGGAUCGGAUGAUGUUAAUUUUUUAAUGACUCAUUCGGCGCC